AGUAAAUAGAUACCCGGGUAGUCCACGCCGUAAACGAUGAGUGCUAGAUGUUGGCGGGCUUGCCCGUCGGUGUCGCAGCUAAACGCGUUAAGCACUCCGCCUGGGGAGUACGGUCGCAAGAUUAAAACUCAAAGGAAUUGACGGGGCCCGGCCACAAGCGGUGGAGCAUGUGGUUUAAAGUUUACGUAAGACAACGACGCAGAACCUUAACCCUACGCCCUUCGUACAUGGGACGGUUUGGGGUUCCGACGAGACGGACCGUCUUCAUUUAGUUUGGCGUCCACACAGGUGCUGCAUGGCGUGUCGUCAGCUCGUGUCGUGAGAUGUUGGGUUAAGUCCCGCAACGAGCGCAACCCUCGUCUUCAGUUGCCAUCAGGUAAGGCUGGGCACUCUGGAGAAACUGCCGGUGACAAGCCGGAGGAAGGUGGGGUAUGACGUCAAGUCCUCAUGGCCCUUACGGGGUCUGGGCUACACACGUGCUACAAUGGCGGUGACAAUGGGUUCGCGAUCCCGCAAGGGGGUAGCUAAUCUCAAAAA
Molecule: ribosomal RNA, 537 nt
Filed under: uncultured bacterium
Lineage: Bacteria
Description: bacterial SSU rRNA
Rfam family: Bacterial small subunit ribosomal RNA
Source: RNAcentral